Molecule: long non-coding RNA, 648 nt
Filed under: Trifolium pratense (red clover)
Lineage: Eukaryota; Viridiplantae; Streptophyta; Magnoliopsida; Fabales; Fabaceae
Description: long non-coding RNA (TPRA_LNC002409)
Source: RNAcentral
GGAUGUAAAUAUGGUAAUACUCAAAGACUUUAAAUUUUAUUAUUGUUUUUGUUCAAAUUUGGUAUGCAGUUUUGAACAAAUAUUUGUUGUUGUUCUGUUUUCUAACAUAUGUUGCUAUUUCUUACUUUUCUUUUUCAGAUCUGUAAAUGAAAAUUUAAAAAAAGGAAAAAGUUGAAGGUUGUAAUCUUACUUUUCUUUUUCUUUUUCUUUUUCAGAUCUGUAAAAAGUAUAUCAAUACUUAACAUAAAUUAAAUAUUGUUAGACAGAAGACAUGAAAAUUUAAAAAAAAGAAAAAGAUGAAGGUUGUAGUCUUCCUUUUCUUUUUAUUUUUCAGAUCUGUAAAAAUUAUAUCAAUACUUAACAUUGAUCUUAAAUAUUGUUAGAUAGAAGACAAUGAAAAAAUUUAAAAAAAAAAUGAAGGUUGUAAUAAAUGGAAGUGAAUAGUAAUGAGAAAAGAUAGAAAUAAGGUUACCGAACAAAUACAACUUCUUUGUACUCUUUAUCUUUUUAUUCUAUAUUAAUAUUAGUUUUAAUUUUUCACCACUCAUUAAAAUAUCCUUUAGAUGAAUAAAGAAGAUCAUAAUUUAACAAUAAAUUUCUUGACGAAAUCAAAGAAAAAUGGAGAAAAUAAAAAAUAUGAAACUAUAU